Molecule: ribosomal RNA, 135 nt
Filed under: uncultured bacterium
Lineage: Bacteria
Description: partial 16S rRNA
Rfam family: Bacterial small subunit ribosomal RNA
Source: RNAcentral
UGGGGAAUCUUGGACAAUGGGCGCAAGCCUGAUCCAGCCAUGCCGCGUGAGUGACGAAGGCCUUAGGGUUGUAAAGCUCUUUUGGCGGGGACGAUAAUGACGGUACCCGCAGAAUAAGUCCCGGCUAACUUCGUG